This 715-nucleotide ribosomal RNA is filed under the name Neosetophoma samarorum. RNAcentral describes it as "eukaryotic LSU rRNA". It matches the Rfam family "Eukaryotic large subunit ribosomal RNA", at positions 79 to 813 of the family's 3401-position model. Lineage: Eukaryota; Fungi; Ascomycota; Dothideomycetes; Pleosporales; Phaeosphaeriaceae. The record is from RNAcentral.
CCUAGUAACGGCGAGUGAAGCGGCAACAGCUCAAAUUUGAAAUCUGGCUCUUUUAGAGUCCGAGUUGUAAUUUGCAGAGGGCGCUUUGGCGUUGGCAGCGGUCCAAGUUCUUUGGAACAGGACGUCACAGAGGGUGAGAAUCCCGUACGUGGUCGCUAGCCUUCGCCGUGUAAAGCCCCUUCGACGAGUCGAGUUGUUUGGGAAUGCAGCUCUAAAUGGGAGGUAAAUUUCUUCUAAAGCUAAAUACUGGCCAGAGACCGAUAGCGCACAAGUAGAGUGAUCGAAAGAUGAAAAGCACUUUGGAAAGAGAGUCAAAUAGCACGUGAAAUUGUUGAAAGGGAAGCGCUUGCAGCCAGACUUGCCUGUAGUUGCUUAUCCGGACUUUUGUCCGGUGCACUCUUCUGCGGGCAGGCCAGCAUCAGUCUAGGCGGUUGGAUAAAGGUCUCUGUCAUGUACCUCUCUUCGGGGAGGCCUUAUAGGGGAGACGACAUGCAACCAGCCUGGACUGAGGUCCGCGCAUCUGCUAGGAUGCUGGCGUAAUGGCUGUAAGCGGCCCGUCUUGAAACACGGACCAAGGAGUCUAACAUCUAUGCGAGUGUUUGGGUGUCAAGCCCAGACGCGUAAUGAAAGUGAACGGAGGUGGGAACCCUUUGGGUGCACCAUCGACCGAUCCUGAUGUCUUCGGAUGGAUUUGAGUAAGAGCAUGGCUGUUGGG